Molecule: transfer RNA, 86 nt
Filed under: Pseudoxanthomonas sp.
Lineage: Bacteria; Pseudomonadati; Pseudomonadota; Gammaproteobacteria; Lysobacterales; Lysobacteraceae
Also listed under: 1 other name
Description: tRNA-Leu
Rfam family: tRNA
About the family: Transfer RNA (tRNA) molecules are approximately 80 nucleotides in length. Their secondary structure includes four short double-helical elements and three loops (D, anti-codon, and T loops).
Source: RNAcentral
GCCGAAGUGGCGGAAUGGUAGACGCAGCGGACUCAAAAUCCGCCGCUAGCGAUAGUGUGGGGGUUCGAGUCCCCCCUUCGGCACCA